AUUGAACGCUGGCGGCAUGCUUUACACAUGCAAGUCGAACGGUAACAGGUUAAGCUGACGAGUGGCGAACGGGUGAGUAAUGCAUCGGAACGUGCCCGAUCGUGGGGGAUAACGCAGCGAAAGCUGCGCUAAUCCCGCAUACGAUCUGAGGAUGAAAGCGGGGGACCGUAAGGCCUCGCGCGAUCGGAGCGGCCGAUGUCAGAUUAGGUAGUUGGUGGGGUAAAGGCCCACCAAGCCGACGAUCUGUAGCUGGUCUGAGAGGACGACCAGCCACACUGGGACUGAGACACGGCCCAGACUCCUACGGGAGGCAGCAGUGGGGAAUUUUGGACAAUGGGCGAAAGCCUGAUCCAGCAAUGCCGCGUGCAGGAAGAAGGCCUUCGGGUUGUAAACUGCUUUUGUACGGAGCGAAAAGGUCCUUUCUAAUACAAGGGGCUCAUGACGGUACCGUAAGAAUAAGCACCGGCUAACUACGUGCCAGCAGCCGCGGUAA
RNAcentral lists this ribosomal RNA (493 nucleotides) under uncultured bacterium. Its description in RNAcentral is "partial 16S ribosomal RNA". It matches the Rfam family "Bacterial small subunit ribosomal RNA", at positions 30 to 523 of the family's 1533-position model. The record is from RNAcentral.